RNAcentral lists this non-coding RNA (182 nucleotides) under Lysinibacillus sphaericus. Lineage: Bacteria; Bacillati; Bacillota; Bacilli; Caryophanales; Bacillaceae. The record is from RNAcentral.
CAUAUAAAUACAUCUAUAAGUGCUCGAUAGUAUUCGAGAUAAUAGGGAAAUCGGUGUGAAUCCGAUACAGCCCCCGCUACUGUAAUAGCUGAUGAAAUCGUAAAAGCCACUAGUAUAACUGGGAAGGUGCGAAAGUAAGAAGAAGCUUAAGUCAGGAAACCUGCUUAGUUGAUGGCAUGCAA